This is a non-coding RNA of Lactuca sativa (garden lettuce), 1598 nucleotides long. Lineage: Eukaryota; Viridiplantae; Streptophyta; Magnoliopsida; Asterales; Asteraceae. The record is from RefSeq and is a predicted model, not a curated record.
CUUAUCUUAAAUUGUGCCACAAUGUUUUUUUUGGCUUUAGUCAUUUGGCACAGCACUUUUGAAAAUUUAAAUUUAGCCCCCGCCUCCUUAUCUUCCAAUCAGAAAUUCUCCACCGACUCCAUUACACGGACUCCAAUACUUUUGCCCUCAACUCCAUUUUCCCUCUUAAUUCUCAUUCCCACCUCCAUCAACAGACCACCGCCGACCUUGCCUUCCGAUGGCGUUCUUAGGUCUGGUUUCCACCGCUUCGCUCGCCUCUCCACUAGAUUUCCGGCUUUCCCUUCUCCGCUGCUCUGUGAACAUACUCUCGCUCCCUCUCUAACCUUAAAUCCAUAGAGCAGCCACCACCAUCCUCUACCAUCGCCUCCUUGUGCUAAUACUACCGUACUCCAAACCCAGCGCCUUAAGGAAUCUCUCAAUGACAACAACAGAAACACGGAGAUUGGAAUGGGAGAAAGAGAAAGAGAAAGAGGAAGCUGGAAUUCGACUUUAGGUGACCGCAAUUACUUCGUCUUCUUCUUAAUUUUUUCUAAACCGAUUUGUUGUUCAAGUAUGGAAUAUUUGGGAAAUUUGAUGUUUUUUCUGGAUCUUCAAUUACUAUGUCUUUGUUGUUGAUACCAUGUUAUAGAAAUAAAAUACCUUUCCCCACAAGACAACCAAUUACGGUAAAUUGUAGAUUGAGGUCAACCAAAGAUGAAUAUACACAUGUUUUGCAGCCGGAGGCCAGGGCUGUUGCUUUCUCUGACAAAAACUCCUAAUAAUAUCAGUUCAAACAUUCAGCAGUUUAAUUAAGCUUGGACUUCCUAUUAAGACAACUAUUAUUGCCAAUGAUCUUCAAGAUGCUUUGAGUGGAAAUGUUACAAUCAAACCCUUGCCAUUAGGAUCAUCAGGAAAGGUAUAGCAAACAAUCAAUUAAAUUGUGACGAAAGACAUUAGAUCAAUUGACGAAAGACAUUGUCACAGUUGUUUGUUUGAUGCUUACUCAGUAUAUGGAACAUAAAACCAGUGUUGGUUCCAAACAAGGUAGUUUUAAGCUAAUCAUUGACUACUUUGCCUAAUUAUGCGACCCAUAUAAGUUCUAAUUUACAUGAAAUCAAACUCCUCUGCCAUAUGGAUCAUGAGAAUAUUCUCAAGAAAGAUAACUUCAUAAGGCCACCAUAGAAAGAGAAGUUGAUGACGUGUAUAUUGUGUAUGACUUGAUGGCCACUGAUCUGCAUAAAAUUAUUCGUUCUUCUCUGAUAUUUCAAUCUAAAACAAUGAUGGCUAAUUAAUUGCCACUGUUGUUGGUUGUACUUUUAAGAAAAUAAAUUUCACAAUAACACCCACGGACAAAAUGCUUUACAAUGGUAGUUGUCCAAGAAGAAUGGAAUCAACAAAGGAAUGAAAUUGUUCAUUCCGUUGCUAGAUGGAGUGGAAUGGACCAUUCUCUUCUUCGUAUUUUGUUAAAUUUUCAUUGUUUACUGAGUAAAUGUUUUCCUUUUUCUUUUCAAUUCUAUCAUGGAAUGUAAUGGAUAAUUGCAACGUAAACAAAUUCUAUUUAUAUAACUUUUAAUACCAUUUUCAAAAAAUUAAUUCCAGCUUUCUUUUUCCAAACAUUA